GGAUUUCAGCUUCAUCCGAUAACCUUGCGUCAUCCAAAGUUCUGCAGGUUCCUAGGUUUCUGUCCAUGUGUCCGCUAUGAAUGUUCACGCUCAGUGUGUCUCAGCGUGUGAUCGCCAGUCUCUCCCCGCGAUGCUCCUUCACCUGUGAUGCUCCAGUACACUACGAAGGACCUUUGCAAUGGAAGGGGUUCCACUCCUGUCUUUGUUCUCCUCACCCCUCUGAUGACCGUUAGAAAUGAUGAGCAACGGCUCUGGUGCCUCAGUGUCCAGAGGAGAAGACAGGUGAGGGAGGGAGUUUAAUUAGAGUCCGGACCACAAUUCAUCACUCACCGCGUGCGGAAUUCCACACCCACCCCGACACCGCCGGUCACCACCCCUCACGUGGCGGCGGGAGCGCGCUCCUGCGCGUCCACGCGGAUUCGGCGCCGCCGCCGUCCCCCCCCCCCCCAACACGCACACACGAAGGAGUGAGCGCGUGCGAGCCCCUUUGGCUUUGCCGAGACGGAAGGGUGUGUGUUCACAGCCCGUGGUGGUGGAUCCGGGGCGACAGACUGAAGAGGACGGACGGCUGCGCGGAGCUGCGUCGCGGGAGCGCGUCCCGCCAGGGACCGACCGACGGAGCGGGCCUCCCGGAGCUGCGACGCUCGCACUCUGCACCUGUCCCGGGGUUUUGCGGCGCCGCUCGCGGAGGACAGCUGCCCCCCGGAGAGAGGCUGCGGGAGCGAGACUCCGGUUGGAUUUGGCAACGCAAGACUGCUGAAGACCAGAGCUUUGAGCUUUCAGCAGGAGUUUGCGUUUGACAGCAAGGCCGACUUGGACAGGAGCACCCGUGACAUCGACGCACAUCUCCUUGCAAUUCUUCCCAAAGGUGAGGCUCGGGUAAGAGGAGGACAUGCAGACUGCUUCCAAAAUGACCCUUAACAUAGGAUAUGGAGAGAAAUGUGCUGGUGGGGGAAGGACACGCGGACACCAGUGAUGUCA
Molecule: long non-coding RNA, 981 nt
Filed under: Scleropages formosus (Asian bonytongue)
Lineage: Eukaryota; Metazoa; Chordata; Actinopteri; Osteoglossiformes; Osteoglossidae
Description: lncRNA (ENSSFOG00015029903.1)
Source: RNAcentral